Ailuropoda melanoleuca (giant panda) is the source of this 2082-nucleotide long non-coding RNA. RefSeq lists it as uncharacterized. Lineage: Eukaryota; Metazoa; Chordata; Mammalia; Carnivora; Ursidae. The transcript is spliced from 3 exons. The record is from RefSeq and is a predicted model, not a curated record.
CUGAGCCGAAGACAGACGCUUAACCGCUGUGCCACCCAGGCGCCCCCAUGAAAGACUUUUCUAAUCUAAUAUUCUUUAUUAGGAACCUUAAUGCUAUAGUUUCAGGCAUAUGGCUUCAUUAAACAAGUGAGCAGCAAGGGAGAAAUGUCUUGUAUCUGUUCAUUUCUCUCUGUGUUCAGUUCAGAACCGAGGCGACUCCUGUAGGGCUGAAGCAAGAUCAUACGAAUCUGAGAGACAUGCUGAAUGGCACAGCCAGAGUUGCAGAGGAAAGUAUUGCAAAUUAGCAUAUUUGAAAAGUUUUUCAAAGGUCAGUCUGUGUCUCUUGUGGCCUGCUUAGAAUGUGUCACCACGGAUGGACUGAGCAGAACUUAUUGUUGUGUAUGUGAUGAGAAGUGUCCAAUUCACACCCACAGCCUUUCUUACUCCCACUUUCAUAUCUUGUUUUUCAUUUUAAAAAUGAUUACUGUAAAGAAAACCUUACUAACUCUAAUUUAAUGCCAAGGAUGUCUAAUUCCUUCAAACUGGUGUAAUAUGUGUCAUUUAUAUGUCUUACCAUUUAAUACCACCUACUCUAGCACUCUAAUAUUGUACUAAUGAAGAGGAGACCUCUAAUGCACCAGAGUAUUUUGCAAGUUAGUGGAUGAUAUUCAAUCAUGGUUUAUAAUAAUAAUUAUAAAAAUGUGUUUUAUUUUAACAAAGAUGUAGAUUUUCCAAUUUUCCCUAAAAAGUUCACUUUAAUCCAACACGUGAUUAGUACUUCUGAGUCUAUGUGCUAUUUGCAAGUGGAAUUCAAUUGUAAUAAAAUAUUUAAAAAUAGAUCUACUUAUAAAGAGAUCUUAUUUUCCAAGUUAUGAAUAUUAGAGAAAUGGUCUAAGGCAUCUUAUAUGUUAACAAAUUAGGAAGUUUUAGAUCAGAAAUAAGACAAUUAAGAAUACUGUGCUCGAAUAAUGAGUAGAAUAUAUACGUAUGAAAUAUCUGUAUUCGUUAUAUGUGAGGAAGGAGCUGCCAUAAAUUCUCAGGGGGUAUCACACUGAAACUAUGAUGGACCUUACAGUUCUGGUAUAUUUCCUAAAAUUUGUCUAUAAAAUGUUGACUUAUCAUACAAGUUACUUACAUAAUCACUUUCCUUUGGAAGAGAUUCUGCAAGGCACCUCAUUGAUAAAUAAUCAUGAAGGCAAUAAAAAUUUCCAUAGCCUCCCAGAGGGUGUUUGUUCUUAGGACAAAGACCCAGGGAAAAACUGACAUGUAGUCCUGGUUCAGAUCAGCUUGAUUAAACAUUGUGUGUAAUGAGGGAAAGAAUAUAAAAUGAGAGGACUAGGAGAUAAGGUUAGAAAAGCAAUCAAGAAAUCAAAAUUAACUUCGUGGCUUUCCUCCCAGGGUGGGUGAGAAAGCCGCACAUUUAUUUUUCUUGUGCCUGGUAAAGCCGUGCUUACCAACAUCGUGUAAUUUGUGACACUCUGCUGUUGAGCUUUUUCCUAUUCACCUCUCUUCAUGACUAUUGCUUUUAAAGGAAAGCGAAUUAAUUCUGGUUCUGUUUGAAGGAUUUGGUGACCAUUUCCUGAUGGUGCUUAAGAACGCUGGCGGCUCCCUGAAUGGUUGCUACAGAGCAGUGGUCCUCAAACUUUAGCAUGCCUUAGAUUGCUGACCUUCACCCUCAGAGCUGCUGAUUUGAUCCACUUUUUACCAAGUAUUCUGCACACUCUACCAGCCUGACUGGUCCUAUGCCCUGCUUUGAGCAAAGGCUAUGCAGAACUUGAACCCCGCCCCAAGAGAACUAUUUUGUGGGGUAAGUCGGAUUAGUUGGUGCUUCUACUGAGGGUAUUUUUCAGAAUUAUGGUAAGUCUUGCAAAAAGACACAUGUGAAAUUUAAAAAAUUUUAUCCAUCAAUUUUCUGGAAGAUAAACUUUAAAUGUUUAUUGUUUAUUAUUCCAGUUCCAUGGAUUGUGAACUGAUUAACUUGUAAUUCAGCUCAAAUCAUAACUCAUGUUAUAAGUCAAUGUGAUUUUUUUGGGAUACAUGAUAAAAUGAUUUUGGCAACCUCUAAGAAGUAAGCAGUGCUCUAACAGUGAAAGUUUGGUUCAC